UGCCAGCCGCCGCGGUAAUACAGAGGGUGCGAGCGUUAAUCGGAAUUACUGGGCGUAAAGGGCACGUAGGUGGGUGCUUAAGUCAGAUGUGAAAUCCUCGAGCUUAACUUGAGAACUGCAUUUGAUACUGGGCACCUAGAGUUUGGUAGAGGGAAGUGGAAUUUCCGAUGUAGCGGUGAUAUGCAUAGAUAUCGGAAGGAACACCAGUGGCGAAGGCGGCUUCCUGGACCAAUACUGACACUGAGGUGCGAAAGCGUGGGUAGCAAACAGGAUUAGAUA
This 279-nucleotide ribosomal RNA is filed under the name uncultured bacterium. Its description in RNAcentral is "partial 16S ribosomal RNA". It matches the Rfam family "Bacterial small subunit ribosomal RNA", at positions 506 to 784 of the family's 1533-position model. The record is from RNAcentral.